AUUGACCGCUGGCGGCGUGCUUUACACAUGCAAGUCGGACGAGUGGCGAACGGGUGAGUAACGCAUCGGAACGUACCGAGUAAUGGGGGAUAACUGUCCGAAAGGACAGCUAAUACCGCAUAUUAUUCGCGCGGCCGAUGUCUGAUUGGCUGGUUGGCGGGGUAAAGGCCCACCAAGGCGACGAUCAGUAGCGGGUCUGAGAGGAUGCCCGGCCACACUGGGACUUGGCCACGGCCCUGACGCCUGCGGGAGGCAGCAGUGGGGAAUUUUGGGCAGUGGGGGCGAGCAUGAUCCAGCCAUGCCGCGUGUCUGAAGAAGGCCUUCGGGUUGUAAAGGACUUUUGUCAGGGAAGCGGUACCUGAAGAAUAAGCACCGGCUAACUACGUGCCAGCAGCCGCGGUAAUAC
This 406-nucleotide ribosomal RNA is filed under the name uncultured bacterium. RNAcentral's name for it is "partial 16S ribosomal RNA". It matches the Rfam family "Bacterial small subunit ribosomal RNA", at positions 30 to 526 of the family's 1533-position model. The record is from RNAcentral.